AACGAGGCCGACCUGCGGCUGAGUUACCUGCGGAAGGAUCAUUACAGAGUUCAUGCCCUCACGGGUAGAUCUCCCACCCUUGAAUACUAUACCUUUGUUGCUUUGGCGGGCCGCUUUGGCUACUGGCUCUGGCUAGUAAGUGCCCGCCAAAGAACCCCAAAACUCUGAAUAUUAGUGUCGUCUGAGUACUAUAUAAUAGUUAAAACUUUUAACAAUGGAUCUCAGAUCGGAAGAGCACAC
This 240-nucleotide unclassified non-coding RNA is filed under the name soil metagenome. Its description in RNAcentral is "partial contains 5.8S ribosomal RNA, internal transcribed spacer 2, and large subunit ribosomal RNA". The record is from RNAcentral.